RNAcentral lists this unclassified non-coding RNA (245 nucleotides) under air metagenome. RNAcentral's name for it is "partial contains small subunit ribosomal RNA, internal transcribed spacer 1, and 5.8S ribosomal RNA". The stretch from base 1 to 46 matches the Rfam family "Eukaryotic small subunit ribosomal RNA", at positions 1786 to 1831 of the family's 1831-position model. The record is from RNAcentral.
AAGUCGUAACAAGGUCUCCGUUGGUGAACCAGCGGAGGGAUCAUUACAAAAAAAAUAGCGAGCAGCAGCUCACUAAACCCACUGUUUACCUACCUACUGUACUGCUUCGGCAGGCGGCCCCCGGGGGGGCGACUACCUGCAAAGGCGCCUGCCGACGGCAACCCAGAACUCUUUACUGUCAGUUGUAACUCUGAGCCAUAAUACAAACCUAAACAAAACUUUCAACAACGGAUCUCUUGGUUUGG